Molecule: ribosomal RNA, 453 nt
Filed under: uncultured bacterium
Lineage: Bacteria
Description: partial 16S ribosomal RNA
Rfam family: Bacterial small subunit ribosomal RNA
Source: RNAcentral
AACGAACGCUGGCGGCAGGUCUUAGGCAUGCAAGUCGAACGGGUGUAGCAAUACAUCAGUGGCGCACGAGUGAGUAACGCGUGGGAAUUUGCCCAUCGGUGGGGAAUAACGUUUGGAAACGAACGCUAAUACCGCAUACGUCGAGAAAUCGAGAAAGAUUUAUCGCCGAUGGAUAAGCCCGCGUUGGAUUAGCUUGUUGGUAGGGUAAUGGCCUACCAAGGCGAUGAUCCAUAGCUGGUCUGAGAGGACGAUCAGCCACGCUGGGACUGAGACACGGCCAAGCCUCCUACGGGAGGAGGAAGCAAAGAAUAUUGGAAAAGGGAGUAACCUCUGACCCACCCAUGCCGCGGGAGUGAAGAAGGCCUUCGGUUUGUAAAGCUCUUUUAGUGGUGAGGAUGAGGACGGUAGCGAAAGAAAAAGCACCGGCUAACUUCGGGCCAGCCGCCGCCGUAA